GUAAAGAGUUGCGUAGGUGGCAGAGUAAGUAGAUAGUGAAAGCGUCCCGCUCAACGGGAUACCCAUUAUCUAAACUGCUCAGCUAGAGGACGAGAGAGGUAGAUGGAAUUUCCAAUGUAGGGGUAAAAUCCGUAGAUAUUGGAAGGAACACCGAUGGCGUAGGCAGUCUACUGGCUCGUUCCUGACACUAAGGCACGAAAGCGUGGGGAGCGAACGGGAUUAGAUACCCCGGUAGUCCACGCCGUAAACGAUGGAUGCUAGCUGUAUUCGGUAUCGACCCCGGAUGUAGCGAAGCUAACGCGUUAAGCAUCCCGCCUGUGGAGUACGGUCGCAAGACUAAAACAUAAAGGAAUUGACGGGGACCCGCACAAGCGGUGGAGCGUGUUGUUUAAUUCGAUGGUAAGCGAAGAACCUUACCCAGGCUUGACAUCCUUGGAAUUUCUCCGAAAGGAGAGAGUGCUUUUAGAGCCAAGUGACAGGUGAUGCAUGGCCGUCGUCAGCUCGUGUCGUGAGAUGUUUGGUUAAGUCCAUCAACGAGCGCAACCCUUAUAGUUAGUUGUAUUUUUCUAGCUAGACUGCCCUGGUAACAGGGAGGAAGGAGGGGAUGAUGUCAGGUCAGUAUUUCCCUUACGCCUGGGGCUACAAACACGCUACAAUGGCCGGUACAAAGGGCAGCCAAGUCGCGAGACGGAGCAAACCCCAUCAAAGCCGGUCUCAGUUCGGAUAGCAGGCUGAAACUCGCCUGCUUGAAGCCGGAAUCGCUAGUAACGGUAGGUCAGAACACUACCGUGAAUACGUUCCCGGGUCUUGUACACACCGCCCGUCAAGCCAUGAAAGUCGCCAAUACCUGACGUGUGAGCUUUGCC
Molecule: ribosomal RNA, 866 nt
Filed under: uncultured bacterium
Lineage: Bacteria
Description: bacterial SSU rRNA
Rfam family: Bacterial small subunit ribosomal RNA
Source: RNAcentral